Molecule: ribosomal RNA, 468 nt
Filed under: uncultured bacterium
Lineage: Bacteria
Description: partial 16S ribosomal RNA
Rfam family: Bacterial small subunit ribosomal RNA
Source: RNAcentral
GAUGAACGCUGGCGGCGUGCUUAACACAUGCAAGUCGAACGGAAAGGCGCUGCUUUUGUUGGUUUCUCGAGUGGCGAACGGGUGAGUAUCACGCGUGUAUCCUGCCCUUGACUUUGGGAUAACUCUAGGAAAAUCGGGCUAUUAUCGGAUAUAAUCUCUUGCUGCACGGUGUGGGUUGGUAAGUUUCGGCGUUGGUGGCUGGACUGGCAGCUUAUCAGCUUGUUGGUCUGGUAGUGGCUUACCAAGGUUUCGACGGGUAGCCGGCCUGAGAGGGUGACCGGCGACAAGGGGACUGAGGUACGGACCAGACGGCUACGGGAGGCAGCAGUGGGGAGUAUGACGGAAUGGGGGGGAGCGAGAUGCAGAAGCGCCGGGAGCGGGAUAACGGGCUUCGGGUUAUAAACCGCUUUGGACGGUGACGAAGAGUGAGUGACGGUAAUGGGUAAAGAAGCAACGGCUAACUACGUG